Molecule: ribosomal RNA, 404 nt
Filed under: Actinomycetes bacterium
Lineage: Bacteria; Bacillati; Actinomycetota; Actinomycetes
Description: Actinobacteria bacterium partial 16S ribosomal RNA
Rfam family: Bacterial small subunit ribosomal RNA
Source: RNAcentral
UGGGGAAUAUUGGACAAUGGGCGCAAGCCUGAUCCAGCCAUGCCGCGUGAGUGAUGAAGGCCCUAGGGUUGUAAAGCUCUUUCACCGGUGAAGAUAAUGACGGUAACCGGAGAAGAAGCCCCGGCUAACUUCGUGCCAGCAGCCGCGGUAAUACGAAGGGGGCUAGCGUUGUUCGGAUUUACUGGGCGUAAAGCGCACGUAGGCGGACUUUUAAGUCAGGGGUGAAAUCCCGGGGCUCAACCCCGGAACUGCCUUUGAUACUGGAAGUCUUGAGUAUGGUGGAGGUGAGUGGAAUUCCGGGUGUAGAGGUGAAAUUCGUAGAUAUUCGGAGGAACACCAGUGGCGAAGGCGGCUCACUGGACCAUUACUGACGCUGAGGUGCGAAAGCGUGGGGAGCAAACAGG